Lagopus muta (rock ptarmigan) is the source of this 760-nucleotide long non-coding RNA. RefSeq lists it as uncharacterized. The transcript is spliced from 3 exons. Lineage: Eukaryota; Metazoa; Chordata; Aves; Galliformes; Phasianidae. The record is from RefSeq and is a predicted model, not a curated record.
UUGGUGGUUUGUCUCAGGGAGCUGAUGCCCACCAUGUCAGAGAUAUUUUUGAAAGAUCAGGAAAUCAAAGCUGUGAAAUGCUUGUAGUCCAUGUUGAGAAAGAAUCCACAAACUUCUGCAAUCACAAAGACCAGCCCUGCACAGGAGCUGCAGAAAGAGCAACUGCCUCAUGAAGCUGAGCCUGCAACACUCCCAGUACUACUGAAGAGCCUGGUUCUGUGUUCAUUCCAUGGAUGCUGCGAUGCUGGUGGAGCCCAGUUCUGGAUAUGUCAUCAAUUAAGAAGGUUGGAGAAAUGUUAUUAAAACAUCAGCCAUACCCCUGUGUACCUUUUAAAUUUUUCAAAAUGGCUUUUGUGUUGCUGUUGGGCCACUUGACCCCAUGCACAUCAAAGGCAAUUCUAAAAUGCAUUCUUUGUGAUCACUUUCUGACUUCAGCUUUUCUUUUUGCAAGGGUGCAUUUUGGUGAUACUGAGUCUUCAAAAAGCCUGUCCUCAGAAAAAAAAUUGCCUAGCUGCAAAUGAUGUUGAAGAACUGCCCCUAGCCCAAUUACAGUUCCACCAAGGGUCCUGGAUUGGCCAACCAUCUUACUGCUGAAGCAAAGCUGAAGGGAGUCACAGAAGAGGAUCCUGGCUUGCAGGACAGGGCUGUUUGAGGGAACAAAAAUGGGUCUCUUUGUGGGGAUGUGAGCAAAUUUGCUGAAUGUGAAACAUCUGUGUGGACAAAUUCAAUGGAACACGUGUUACAGCCUUUCAGAGCGUGG